Molecule: ribosomal RNA, 253 nt
Filed under: uncultured bacterium
Lineage: Bacteria
Description: partial 16S ribosomal RNA
Rfam family: Bacterial small subunit ribosomal RNA
Source: RNAcentral
UACGUAGGGUGCGAGCGUUAAUCGGAAUUACUGGGCGUAAAGCGUGCGCAGGCGGUUUUAUAAGACAGAGGUGAAAUCCCCGGGCUCAACCUGGGAACUGCCUUUGUGACUGUAUAGCUUGAGUGCGGCAGAGGGGGAUGGAAUUCCGCGUGUAGCAGUGAAAUGCGUAGAUAUGCGGAGGAACACCGAUGGCGAAGGCAAUCCCCUGGGCCUGCACUGACGCUCAUGCACGAAAGCGUGGGGAGCAAACAGG